Molecule: ribosomal RNA, 253 nt
Filed under: uncultured bacterium
Lineage: Bacteria
Description: partial 16S ribosomal RNA
Rfam family: Bacterial small subunit ribosomal RNA
Source: RNAcentral
UACGAAGGGGGCUAGCGUUGCUCGGAAUCACUGGGCGUAAAGGGCUCGUAGGUGGCCAACUAAGUCAGACGUGAAAUCCCUCAGCUUAACUGGGGAACUGCGUCUGAUACUGGAUGGCUUGAGAUUGGGAGAGGGAUGCGGAAUUCCAGGUGUAGCGGUGAAAUGCGUAGAUAUCUGGAGGAACACCGGUGGCGAAGGCGGCAUCCUGGACCAACAUUGACGCUGAGGAGCGAAAGCUAGGGGAGCAAACGGG